RNAcentral lists this long non-coding RNA (223 nucleotides) under Mytilus galloprovincialis (Mediterranean mussel). Lineage: Eukaryota; Metazoa; Mollusca; Bivalvia; Mytilida; Mytilidae. The record is from RNAcentral.
GGUUUGAACAAAAGAGGGAAUAAAAGGUUCUGUGAGCUUAUUAUCUCCCCUUGAAUACAGCUUCUUUGUCUUAUUUAAUGCUGAAAUGAUACUAUUAUACAUCAUUAUAUUCCCAGAAAUAUCAAAUUUGUCUUUUAUUUCCCCAUAUGAGAGAAACUUUCCACUAUUACUAAUCACAUCAUUUACAAAAACAAUACCUUUAUUAUACCAACUUCUAUAAAAU